This 1349-nucleotide ribosomal RNA is filed under the name uncultured bacterium. RNAcentral's name for it is "bacterial SSU rRNA". It matches the Rfam family "Bacterial small subunit ribosomal RNA", at positions 28 to 1381 of the family's 1533-position model. The record is from RNAcentral.
GACGAACGCUGGCGGCGUGCUUAACACAUGCAAGUCGAACGAUGAAGCCUAGCUUGCUAGGUGGAUUAGUGGCGAACGGGUGAGUAAUACGUGAGUAACCUACCUUUAACUCUGGGAUAAGCCUGGGAAACUGGGUCUAAUACCGGAUACGACCAAUCUCCGCAUGGGGUGUUGGUGGAAAGCGUUAUGUAGUGGUUAUAGAUGGGCUCACGGCCUAUCAGCUUGUUGGUGAGGUAACGGCUCACCAAGGCGACGACGGGUAGCCGGCCUGAGAGGGUGACCGGCCACACUGGGACUGAGACACGGCCCAGACUCCUACGGGAGGCAGCAGUGGGGAAUAUUGCACAAUGGGCGCAAGCCUGAUGCAGCGACGCCGCGUGAGGGAUGACGGCCUUCGGGUUGUAAACCUCUGUUAGCAGGGAAGAAGAGAGAUUGACGGUACCUGCAGAGAAAGCGCCGGCUAACUACGUGCCAGCAGCCGCGGUAAUACGUAGGGCGCGAGCGUUGUCCGGAAUUAUUGGGCGUAAAGAGCUUGUAGGCGGUUUGUCGCGUCUGCUGUGAAAGGCCGGAGCUUAACUCCGUGUAUUGCAGUGGGUACGGGCAGACUAGAGUGCAGUAGGGGAGACUGGAAUUCCUGGUGUAGCGGUGGAAAUGCGCAGAUAUCAGGAGGAACACCGAUGGCGAAGGCAGGUCUCUGGGCUGUAACUGACGCUGAGAAGCGAAAGCAUGGGGAGCGAACAGGAUUAGAUACCCUGGUAGUCCAUGCCGUAAACGUUGGGCACUAGGUGUGGGGGACAUUCCACGUUUUCCGCGCCGUAGCUAACGCAUUAAGUGCCCCGCCUGGGGAGUACGGCCGCAAGGCUAAAACUCAAAGAAAUUGACGGGGGCCCGCACAAGCGGCGGAGCAUGCGGAUUAAUUCGAUGCAACGCGAAGAACCUUACCAAGGCUUGACAUAUACUGGACCGCAUCAGAGAUGGUGUUUCCCUUCGGGGCUGGUAUACAGGUGGUGCAUGGUUGUCGUCAGCUCGUGUCGUGAGAUGUUGGGUUAAGUCCCGCAACGAGCGCAACCCUCGUUCUAUGUUGCCAGCACGUUAUGGUGGGGACUCAUAGGAGACUGCCGGGGUCAACUCGGAGGAAGGUGGGGAUGACGUCAAAUCAUCAUGCCCCUUAUGUCUUGGGCUUCACGCAUGCUACAAUGGCCGGUACAGAGGGUUGCGAUACUGUGAGGUGGAGCUAAUCCCUAAAAGCCGGUCUCAGUUCGGAUUGGGGUCUGCAACUCGACCCCAUGAAGUCGGAGUCGCUAGUAAUCGCAGAUCAGCAACGCUGCGGUGAAUACGUUCCCGGGCCU